Molecule: ribosomal RNA, 450 nt
Filed under: uncultured bacterium
Lineage: Bacteria
Description: partial 16S ribosomal RNA
Rfam family: Bacterial small subunit ribosomal RNA
Source: RNAcentral
GUGGGGAAUUUUGGACAAUGGGCGCAAGCCUGAUCCAGCCAUACCGCGUGGGUGAAGAAGGCCUUCGGGUUGUAAAGCCCUUUUGUUGGGAAAGAAAUCCUGUCGGUUAAUACCUGGCGGGGAUGACGGUACCCAAAGAAUAAGCACCGGCUAACUUCGUGCCAGCAGCCGCGGUAAUACGAAGGGUGCAAGCGUUACUCGGAAUUACUGGGCGUAAAGCGUGCGUAGGUGGUGGUUUAAGUCCGUUGUGAAAGCCCUGGGCUCAACCUGGGAAUUGCAGUGGAUACUGGAUCACUAGAGUGUGGUAGAGGGAUGCGGAAUUUCUGGUGUAGCAGUGAAAUGCGUAGAGAUCAGAAGGAACAUCCGUGGCGAAGGCGGCAUCCUGGGCCAACACUGACACUGAGGCACGAAAGCGUGGGGAGCAAACAGGAUUAGAUACCCUGGUAGUCC